RNAcentral lists this ribosomal RNA (292 nucleotides) under uncultured bacterium. RNAcentral describes it as "partial 16S ribosomal RNA". It matches the Rfam family "Bacterial small subunit ribosomal RNA", at positions 505 to 796 of the family's 1533-position model. The record is from RNAcentral.
GUGCCAGCAGCCGCGGUAAUACGAAGGAUUCGAGCGUUAUCCGGAUUUAUUGGGUUUAAAGGGUGCGUAGGUGGACUAAUAAGUCAGUGGUGAAAGCCCGCAGCUUAACUGCGGAACUGCCAUUGAUACUGUUAGUCUUGAGUACAGUUGAGGUGGGCGGAAUGUGUCAUGUAGCGGUGAAAUGCUUAGAUAUGACACAGAACACCGAUUGCGAAGGCAGCUCACUAAGCUGUAACUGACACUGAGGCACGAAAGCGUGGGGAGCAAACAGGAUUAGAUACCCCAGUAGUCC